RNAcentral lists this ribosomal RNA (465 nucleotides) under Vreelandella stevensii. Its description in RNAcentral is "partial 16S ribosomal RNA". It matches the Rfam family "Bacterial small subunit ribosomal RNA", at positions 338 to 795 of the family's 1533-position model. Lineage: Bacteria; Pseudomonadati; Pseudomonadota; Gammaproteobacteria; Oceanospirillales; Halomonadaceae. The record is from RNAcentral.
CCUACGGGCGGCAGCAGUGGGGAAUAUUGGACAAUGGGGGGAACCCUGAUCCAGCCAUGCCGCGUGUGUGAAGAAGGCCCUCGGGUUGUAAAGCACUUUCAGUGAGGAAGAACGCCUGGUGGUUAAUACCCAUCAGGAAAGACAUCACUCACAGAAGAAGCACCGGCUAACUCCGUGCCAGCAGCCGCGGUAAUACGGAGGGUGCGAGCGUUAAUCGGAAUUACUGGGCGUAAAGCGCGCGUAGGUGGCUUGAUAAGCCGGUUGUGAAAGCCCCGGGCUCAACCUGGGAACGGCAUCCGGAACUGUCAAGCUAGAGGGCAGGAGAGGAAGGUAGAAUUCCCGGUGUAGCGGUGAAAUGCGUAGAGAUCGGGAGGAAUACCAGUGGCGAAGGCGGCCUUCUGGACUGACACUGACACUGAGGUGCGAAAGCGUGGGUAGCAAACAGGAUUAGAUACCCUAGUAGUC